AAUGUCGUAACAAGGUUUCCGUAGGUGAACCUGCGGAAGGAUCAUUAAAGAAUACCUGGACUCCGGGUCCUCGUCGAGAAAGGUCGUCCGGGUGGCCUCCAGGUCCCGGGCGUCCCUCCUUCCUUCCUUCGUUACUCUACCUCUGUUUGGCUUUGGCACAGCUCCUGGCCGGUUCGGGCUUGCCGGUCUUGGGCCGUCUGGCCCGGAAGGCCCUAACUCGUGGAUAGUCUAUGUUUGUCUGAGUACGAUAUAAUUCGUUUACAAC
Molecule: unclassified non-coding RNA, 265 nt
Filed under: plant metagenome
Description: partial contains small subunit ribosomal RNA and internal transcribed spacer 1
Rfam family: Eukaryotic small subunit ribosomal RNA (bases 1-47)
Source: RNAcentral